This 327-nucleotide unclassified non-coding RNA is filed under the name plant metagenome. RNAcentral describes it as "partial contains 5.8S ribosomal RNA, internal transcribed spacer 2, and large subunit ribosomal RNA". The record is from RNAcentral.
GACCGGAUCGGCGGCCUCCUUCGUUAUGGCAUCCCGGACUUCAAACUUGAGAAGUGGGUGAUCGACCGCCGCAUUCGCUUAAUGGAACAGGAAGGAAUUAUCUUCAGAACCAACUCGCACGUAGGAGUGAACGUCAGCGCGCAACAUCUCAAGGAUGAAUAUGAUGCCGUCGUUCUUUGCGGUGGCGCUUCGGCUCCCCGCGACCUGCCAAUUCCUGGACGCAACCUCAAGGGCGUUCAUUUCGCAAUGGAGUUCCUUCCCCAGCAGAAUAAGCGGGUAGCGGGAGACCGAAUUACGGCGGAUGAAAUUCUGGCAACAGGCAAGAAU